RNAcentral lists this ribosomal RNA (251 nucleotides) under uncultured bacterium. RNAcentral describes it as "partial 16S ribosomal RNA". It matches the Rfam family "Bacterial small subunit ribosomal RNA", at positions 85 to 339 of the family's 1533-position model. The record is from RNAcentral.
GCGCUGACGAGUGGCGGACGGGUGAGUAACGCGUAGGAAUCUGCCUUAUAGUGGGGGACAACGUGGGGAAACCCACGCUAAUACCGCAUACGCCCUACGGGGGAAAGGAGGGGAUCUUCGGACCUUUCGCUAUGAGAUGAGCCCGCGUACGAUUAGCUAGUUGGUAGGGUAAAGGCCUACCAAGGCUACGAUCGUUAGGUGGUCCGAGAGGACGAUCACCCACAAUGGAACUGAGACACGGUCCAUACUCC